Molecule: unclassified non-coding RNA, 26 nt
Filed under: Mus musculus (house mouse)
Lineage: Eukaryota; Metazoa; Chordata; Mammalia; Rodentia; Muridae
Description: oocyte_clustered_small_RNA11715
Source: RNAcentral
UUGAAUGCACAGAGUUAAAGGCAGGU